UGGGGAAUUUUGGACAAUGGGCGAAAGCCUGAUCCAGCAAUGCCGCGUGUGUGAAGAAGGCCUUCGGGUUGUAAAGCACUUUUGUCCGGAAAGAAAUCCUUGGCUCUAAUACAGUCGGGGGAUGACGGUACCGGAAGAAUAAGCACCGGCUAACUACGUGCCAGCAGCCGCGGUAAUACGUAGGGUGCAAGCGUUAAUCGGAAUUACUGGGCGUAAAGCGUGCGCAGGCGGUUUGCUAAGACCGAUGUGAAAUCCCCGGGCUCAACCUGGGAACUGCAUUGGUGACUGGCAGGCUAGAGUAUGGCAGAGGGGGGUAGAAUUCCACGUGUAGCAGUGAAAUGCGUAGAGAUGUGGAGGAAUACCGAUGGCGAAGGCAGCCCCCUGGGCCAAUACUGACGCUCAUGCACGAAAGCGUGGGGAGCAAACAGGAUUAGAUACCCUGGUAGUCCACGCCCUAAACGAUGUCAACUAGUUGCUGGGGAUUCAUUCCUUAGUAACGUAGCUAACGCGUGAAGUUGACCGCCUGGGGAGUACGGUCGCAAGAUUAAAACUCAAAUGAA
RNAcentral lists this ribosomal RNA (560 nucleotides) under uncultured bacterium. RNAcentral describes it as "partial 16S ribosomal RNA". It matches the Rfam family "Bacterial small subunit ribosomal RNA", at positions 355 to 909 of the family's 1533-position model. The record is from RNAcentral.